AUUGAACGCUGGCGGCAUGCCUUACACAUGCAAGUCGAACGGCAGCACGGGAGCAAUCCUGGUGGCGAGUGGCGAACGGGUGAGUAGUAUAUCGGAACGUGCCCGGUCGUGGGGGAUAACGUAGCGAAAGCUACGCUAAUACCGCAUACGAUCUACGGAUGAAAGCGGGGGAUCGCAAGACCUUGCGCGAUUGGAGCGGCCGAUAUCAGAUUAGGUAGUUGGUGAGGUAAAGGCUCACCAAGCCGACGAUCUGUAGCUGGUCUGAGAGGACGACCAGCCACACUGGGACUGAGACACGGCCCAGACUCCUACGGGAGGCAGCAGUGGGGAAUUUUGGACAAUGGGCGCAAGCCUGAUCCAGCAAUGCCGCGUGCAGGAUGAAGGCCUUCGGGUUGUAAACUGCUUUGUACGGAACGAAACGGUGAGCUCUAAUACAGUUUGCUAAUGACGGUACCGUAAGAAUAAGCACCGGCUAACUACGUG
Molecule: ribosomal RNA, 483 nt
Filed under: uncultured bacterium
Lineage: Bacteria
Description: bacterial SSU rRNA
Rfam family: Bacterial small subunit ribosomal RNA
Source: RNAcentral